GACGAACGCUGGCGGCGUGCUUAACACAUGCAAGUCGAACGGAAAGGCCCUGCUUUUGUGGGGUGCUCGAGUGGCGGACGGGUGAGUAACACGUGAGUAACCUGCCCUUGACUUUGGGAUAACUUCAGGAAACUGGGGCUAAUACCGGAUAGGAGCUCCUGCUGCAUGGUGGGGGUUGGAAAGUUUCGGCGGUUGGGGAUGGACUCGCGGCUUAUCAGCUUGUUGGUGGGGUAGUGGCUUACCAAGGCUUUGACGGGUAGCCGGCCUGAGAGGGUGACCGGCCACAUUGGGACUGAGAUACGGCCCAGACUCCUACGGGAGGCAGCAGUGGGGAAUAUUGCACAAUGGGCGGAGGCCUGAUGCAGCAACGCCGCGUGCGGGAUGACGGCCUUCGGGUUGUAAACCGCUUUCGCCUGUGACGAAGCGUGAGUGACGGUAAUGGGUAAAGAAGCACCGGCUAACUACGUG
Molecule: ribosomal RNA, 468 nt
Filed under: uncultured bacterium
Lineage: Bacteria
Description: partial 16S ribosomal RNA
Rfam family: Bacterial small subunit ribosomal RNA
Source: RNAcentral